Molecule: non-coding RNA, 79 nt
Organism: Podarcis lilfordi (Lilford's wall lizard)
Lineage: Eukaryota; Metazoa; Chordata; Lepidosauria; Squamata; Lacertidae
Source: the annotation of a GenBank genome assembly
GGAGGGCUAUACAGUAGCUCAGUGGCAGAGCAUGUGCUUUGCAUGCAGAAGGUCCUGGGCUCAAUCCCUUGUAGUUCCA